Molecule: ribosomal RNA, 495 nt
Filed under: uncultured bacterium
Lineage: Bacteria
Description: bacterial SSU rRNA
Rfam family: Bacterial small subunit ribosomal RNA
Source: RNAcentral
GAUGAACGCUAGCGGCAGGCUUAAUACAUGCAAGUCAAGGGGGUAGCAAUACAACCGGCGCACGGGUGAGUAACGCGUACACAACAUACCAUAUACUGGGGUAUAGCUUUGGGAAACUGAAGGUAAUCCCCCAUAACAUUGCGAGAGGGCAUCUGAUUGCAAUUAAAGUUUCGACGGUAUAUGAUUGGUGUGCGUUUGAUUAGCUUGUUGGUAGGGUAACGGCCUACCAAGGCGACGAUCAAUAGCUGGCGUGAGAGCGCGACCAGCCACACUGGAACUGAGACACGGUCCAGACUCCUACGGGAGGCAGCAGUAGGGAAUAUUGGACAAUGGGCGAAAGCCUGAUCCAGCCAUGCCGCGUGAUAGAUGAAGGCCCUCUGGGUUGUAAAUAUCUUUUAUCUGGGAAGAAACCCCUCGUUUCUACAGGCUUGACGGUACCAGAGGAAUAAGCACCGGCUAACUCCGUGCCAGCAGCCGCGGUAAUCUGUAGUCGUC